This is a long non-coding RNA of Eptesicus fuscus (big brown bat), 490 nucleotides long. RefSeq lists it as uncharacterized. The transcript has 2 exons. The record is from RefSeq and is a predicted model, not a curated record. Lineage: Eukaryota; Metazoa; Chordata; Mammalia; Chiroptera; Vespertilionidae.
GGGUGGGUGUUGAUGCUUGUAUAGAAACGUAUGAUUGUACAAGAAUGUGUUUUUUUGUGCUCUAAAAUCCUCUGAAUCAUGACAGAAAAGAUGUGAAAGCAUUUAAAGUUGGGGAUAUUAUUUAAAUACUUCAGGGUGUGAAAAACAAUGGUUCAUACAAGAGGAUCAAGUCUACAGUCCCUAACCUGGAAUAAAUCCCUCCUAAUUGUGGUAUAUUGUACCUCCCCAGCCUCUUCCUUCAGCACAGCCUACCUCAAGGGCCCAGGGAUGGGAUCUCACCAACCUAUUUGCUAUACGAAACAUGAAAAGCUCUUUCCAGUUUCUAUGCUCUUGCAAAUAUUGUUUCCAUUUUCAAUUAAGGAAACUACUUGUCUUUCAAGUUCCUGCUCAUGAUUUUUCUCCACAAUGAAACCCUCCAUGCCUAUAGGAAGCAGAAUUUCUUCCACCUGUAUUGCUUAUACCAAUAACAUCACCUCUCAAGUUGCGUUGA